Molecule: long non-coding RNA, 429 nt
Filed under: Mytilus galloprovincialis (Mediterranean mussel)
Lineage: Eukaryota; Metazoa; Mollusca; Bivalvia; Mytilida; Mytilidae
Source: RNAcentral
AUCAGCAGGUGUUGACGUCCUUGUUCAAUAUACAAUAUGUCACAAGAACGAAGCACGUUAAUGCAGAUAUUUCAACUACUAAAAGAUCAUUUUGAAGACUACACCAACAUUUCGGAUACGCAAACUGACAAAUUUAUACAACGCAGGAAAAAAGGUGUGCGGGAAUCAAGAAAUUUGAAAUGUAACAGUUGUCCAUCUUGUUCAAAGUUUAUUCAAUUCAUUGACCGUGCAACUUCACCAAUUAUUUCUGAAAAUGGAAAGGAAGAAAUAGUUUUACAAAAAUCAUGUAAUGAUGAAGGAAGAACAGAAAACGUUCCAGUGUUGUCGGAAUUCCAUCCAAAAAUUGAAAAACCAAAAAUUGAAAAAGACGAUGCCUUGAUGUUGUCAUUCAUUCGGGAAAGUGCUGAGAUGAAAAUCAAAAUGCAAGAG